RNAcentral lists this long non-coding RNA (271 nucleotides) under Elaeis guineensis (African oil palm). Its description in RNAcentral is "long non-coding RNA (EGUI_LNC005730)". Lineage: Eukaryota; Viridiplantae; Streptophyta; Magnoliopsida; Arecales; Arecaceae. The record is from RNAcentral.
CGGUCAUCAUCGUGGAUGCUCAGUAAUUCACUGUCAUAGUGUAGCAGGAAAAAAUACUGACAGAGGUAGUUCAUAGCCUCCAGCAAAUACAGCUAGUAAUCAAUAGUGGCGCAACCUCGACAACAGUCUCAUCAGUGGGAUGGGCCAUACCACUCAGUCCAUCACUCUCAACAUAUCGAUCGUCACUUAUUUCUCUCCUAUAAAGCUGAUAAGGGGAAACGACGAUAUUUUUUUUUUCUUCAUCCAACGAAAGUUCUACUCCUGGAUGCUC